UAUUCUACCCUUUUUGAACCUUGGCCUUAAACAGGAUGAAAACCCUUGCUUUGAAAAUAUUUACCUUGAGUUGGGUUGAGAAUAAUUGUAUGGUAUUGAAAAGGUUCAAGUUUGGGGUUGUUUAGGAAAAUUUGAAAAGUAAACGAAAGGCAUUGAGCUCAAGUGUUGAAUAAAAGAAAAAGCAUGAGAAAAGAAGAAAAUUAAAGAAGAAAAAGCAUGAAAAAUGAGCUCAAUGUAAAAAUAAAAGAAAAGGGAAGAAGUUGGGAAUGAGUGAGAUUGGUUAAGAAGAGAGUUUGUGCUUGAACUUUGAAUGUUAAAAUAGCUCUCUUGACUCAAGGAUUUUGUGCUCCAGAAAUACCAUUUUUUCUUGUUAGCCCAACCUCAUUAUAAGCUUUGAUAAAAGUCCUU
This 408-nucleotide long non-coding RNA is filed under the name Vigna radiata. Its description in RNAcentral is "long non-coding RNA (VRAD_LNC001182)". Lineage: Eukaryota; Viridiplantae; Streptophyta; Magnoliopsida; Fabales; Fabaceae. The record is from RNAcentral.